This 227-nucleotide long non-coding RNA is filed under the name Gossypium raimondii (Peruvian cotton). RNAcentral's name for it is "long non-coding RNA (GRAI_LNC003825)". The record is from RNAcentral. Lineage: Eukaryota; Viridiplantae; Streptophyta; Magnoliopsida; Malvales; Malvaceae.
GAGGUGGGACACCAAGACAAUUGCGGUUCGUGGGAAGGACAUGAUAUUGCGGAGCAUCGACUGGUAUCCGAUUCUAAUUAAAAUUGAACUUUUAUUUAGUUUAUUUUAUUUUAGGGUUAUAUAAUUUGAAUUUGAGUGAUUUUAUUUUUUUAUUUUAUUUAGUUUUUAUAAAAAAAACUGUGUUUAUUCUAUAUAGGAACCCCAAUUUAGGCGACACUACAUUUUGG